Molecule: long non-coding RNA, 448 nt
Organism: Dioscorea cayenensis subsp. rotundata (Guinea yam)
Lineage: Eukaryota; Viridiplantae; Streptophyta; Magnoliopsida; Dioscoreales; Dioscoreaceae
Exons: 4
Source: RefSeq, a predicted model, not a curated record
ACAACGCUCUCCAGCGUCUCCUCGGAGCCCGUGUGCUACUUUUCUCCUCUCGCUGAGUCGUUGCUGAGCUCCAAGUGCUUGGUGAAUCCCACUCUGAAGCUCUCAAUGCCGCUCGCCAGCUUGUCACCAUGAGAUGAGACCAUGAGAAGAGGGUGAGCGCCACUGCGUGCAUAGAAUCGAUCAUCGGAAAGUCGAAUCUCAAGCACUUCUUUGUGCCCACGCAGGACGCUAAUCUUCGAAUGAUUUCUUGUGCUCUUAAGCAUUCAUUCAGGACAUGCUAAGCAUUGGUGGAAGGGUGCAUGGUUUGGGAAAUAAUUGCUCUGAUGAAAUUUAUUUGAAGCUACGCACUAGUACAGAGAUACUUAGCAAGCAGUGGUACAUUUGUGGGAAUGUGUUGACUGAAGCUGAUGUCCGCUUGUUUGUCACUCUUAUAAGAUUUGAUGAGGUA